UUCAUUUAAUUAAAUAACCUGUGGUUUUGCUGCAUUGUAAACCCUUCAGAGGAGGCCUCUGAAACAGUUUUUUAAAGAGGAGAAAAGCUUUUAUUUGAAAAUAGAUAUACAUGUAGUUGACAGAAAUUUGAGUUGUGCUACGUUUUACACGUUAACUAUGUAUCCCAAUCUAGUAUCUGUAUUUUGUAACCAAAUUUGGUGACAUCACCAAAGAAGAACAAAGGAAUGUGUUGAAAACAGUAUAAAUAGAUAUUGCUUUGGAAACUAAAAUAAUUGAUGGGUGUUUUAACUUAUGUAGUCUUUCUGACCUUUGUAGGUAAACAACAAAUAAAGAAUAGUCAAAAUUAGUAAGUCUGUGAGUUCUUUAAGCUAGGCGCUAGUUCUGCUGCUCUUCCUUGUCUUUAAAUGUCAGCAAAGAAAGGUGUUUUAAAACUUGAAGAUCUUAUAAAUAAAGCCAAAUAUUCAAAACUGAGUUGAUUUGAAUCCUCAUAAACAGACAUUCUUGACCAUUAACACAUUCCUUGAGCUGCAAUGAAUCUUCUGUGCUGUGGCAGGCUUUAGAAUACCCUGGACCAUUCUUUGAGUCGUUGGGUGGUUUGAAGCUACCCAUUCAUUAAGAAUAAAGAGGCCGCCCUCUCCUUGAGGGUGGUGACUGAGGCAUUUAUGUCUUUGUCUCCUGAUUAGUAAAAACAGAAUCAUCCUUAGCCUACAGUAAGCAUUCUCAAAUAAUAAUUGAAUGGAUGAAUCCAAUCUAAAUAGCAUUUCAAUCAGCAGAACUUAGUUCCCCAGAUGCAACUUUUCAUUUCGCAAAAAAAAGGAAAAGAAACAGAGACUUGAUUUGCUUUUGGGAUUUUGGAAAGUUCAACAUUGGAAAGUAAAAUCCAGAGUAUCCAUUAUUUACUGCACCUGCCUGUUCUAGCCCAUCAAGCCUGGACAGCUUGCUUGCCUUUAAUUUUUUUCUGUAUUUCUGUUUCAAAGUAGCCACUGAUUACAUAUGAAAUGCCAGCCCUAGGCUUUGUGUUAUUCAAAUACUACUCUGCGAUCCUCCCUUGCGCCUACUUCUCCCACUGUGGGAGUACAGGAAAUGCUUGUUAAGUAGAUCAGCCUUGUUAAUCAGAAACCUGGGAAUAAGUGUUUAGCAUCUAAGUUCAAUUAAAGCUUUAAAGAGUGAUUCCUUAAAUCCAUUCUCUGUCUUUCCCAUUUUCAAGGUGCGAUUUGAAGUUAUUUUUGAAAAUGUCAUUUGAAAGGGUAAAUACGUCAUAAGAAAAAGAAGAACUUACUGAAGGAGUGAGUUUGAGUUCUGCUCUCUCCCGAUCUCCUUGUUCAAAGAACUCGCUGGUUACAAGUUCAGCCACCUGAAACACAGAAAUAUUUAAAUUGACAGGUAAUCUCCUUUGGCCACCACAAGGACUCUAGGAGCUCGGUAUGGGUGAUGUACCUGUUCCCAUGUUGCUGACAAGGAAACCAGGGCAAAGAGAGAUUAAGGGAGAAGCAGAAUGUUAGGUCUGUACCUCGCUUUGAAGGAUCAUCACUGCGUGGUUGAAAUGGUGAUGCUCUAAGGUAGCGGAAGUUCCAUAGAGCUGGGCCAGGGCAGAGCCACUCCUGAAAGAGGACAGAUGUGUGAGUGACCAAGGUCCUUCACCCGUCAACGAUCCCCCGACACUGGCUCUUUGGAUCAACGUGUUUCUCCUGCUUCCGCAAAGGACCAUGAGCAGAUACAUUCUCAGGCUGGAACGGAGAGCUAAGGAAGAAAGGUGCAUCUGGCCCUUGUUGCGCAUAUAGUCUGGUCAUGCCUUGUGCCAACCAGAACAGUGCCAUGGAGCACCCUUUUCUAGUGAGAAACUCUCCCAACAUCGGUUGCAAUUUGUCGCAGAAAGUGAUGGUGAGAGUGGCUAGCUCCUGCUUUGUUUCUGGAGGCGGUGCAUCAUGGUCUGCACGCCUGUUGUCAUGUAUGCAGCUACAGUGCGGGAAUCUGAGAAAGUGAUGCCAGAAAUUCUGCCUUCACGUCUCUUUUUGAACUUGGCUAUCAGAGGUACUGAAUGACGAGGAAUUUCCUGGAUAAUCCUGUUGAUUCUGAGAUCUGGCAGAUGGCGGACUAAGAGGGAGAGAAUCCGGUGAUGUACUGGAAAUUCCUAACGGUUCCAGAAAUUCCAAACCGAAGAAGGUCCUUGGCUCCAAAUGCUCCUCCAUGGAUGCUGGCAGCCGGCACUGCAGUGGAGCCUUCCACGGAUUGGCUGAGGUUAAGAGAGAGCAUGAUGGGCUUUUGUAGAGCUUUUCUUCUCCCCUUCAUCUUUCUCUUUCCUUGGAUUAGAAGAGCAAAGAAGACUGCUCAGACCAUUCCAAGAGGUUUGGAAGAACAUAGUUUCUCAAGGAAGUGCCUUCUCUAGAAGAAUCUGCACACCAUAUCCCUAAUCGUGUCAUCAUGUCUCAACUGAUCUAAACAUGACUUCAUACCUUAGAAGUGAUGUGAGCUUGGGGCCGAAAGGUAGCAUUUAGAGAAGCAUCAUUUAAUUCCUGGUGUUUCUUAAUUUCUGGUAUGCAGUGUUGCAGGGGCCCUGUCUGGGGCCUUUGUUUGGUAUAUUAUUAAAAUCAAAUUUACUGUAGCCAAAUAAUGCUCGUUGAGGGUUUCAUUGUAAAUGCCACAUACAAAGUGUGUUGGUCUUCUAAAGAAAGUCCCAAACUACAAUGCUGAUGGCUGGUCCAGCUGUGCUAGGCCAUCCUUCACAUGCGGUGUCUAUCAGUGAAACUUAGAUCUCCUAACAAGGACGGAAGGUUCUGUGAGAAGGGUGCCUCCGUCACCCUCCCAACUCAGCCCAUAUCCCAGCUGACUGGAUCAGAGUGGAUCAGAGUAGUAAGAGCAUUAAGCCCGCAAGUUUGGGCUUCACGGGCAUUUACAGCAAGUCCAGCGUGCUUUAUUUUGGGAUCUAUUUUUUUGCUUCAAGAUGGAAUGGCCACCUCUCAACAUGUAAAUCCUGGGGGCAGGCUGAUGGAUACCAACCUAUUCAAUUUGCUCCAAAGCAGUGAUUUUAGGCAGAGGACUUUCUCAAGCUUUAAGAUAGAAGUAGAUUUCAUUUGCUUACCAAGAGUGCUACGAACAAAUUUAUGCUUAAUGCCAUAUCCUAUCUUCCUUUUAAAAAAGAUCCUGUAUUUGCCAACCAGAGAUAGUGGGUAAUGAAAACACAAGGGGGAGAAGAACAGAUAUUCACACAAGCGCAACCUUCCAUUGCAGGAAAAAACCCUACUGGACAAACCAUAGCAUCUAGAUUUAACGGUCAGACUCCCUUGGUGUUUACAGAUAUGUUUGUCUGCCAAUAUUUGGGUCUGCUAGGCUGAAAACAAGGCACUUCAGUCCCAUUUUCAGGUCCAGACACCAGAACCUUACCAGCUGUUAGGGGACCACCAACCACCAGCACCAUGUUUACAUGUCUCCUUCACAAAAGCAUGCGAUAACAACACAAACCAGUUGUAGUCUGUCUGAUUUCCACAGGAGUUGGAUAGUUUUGAUCAAAUUUGCUUCUCUUUCUUCUCAAGAUAUUAGUCAAUUAUUGAUUUGGCAUUAAUUAAAUACUGAUUUAAGUCCACAAUAAUCCUUUCCUUAUCAAGCUCAGAGUUGGGAAGACCUUACAGUCUACACUUACGUACUUCUUUUACAACCAGAAGCUCCUGAAGGCACUUAUUAUCAAAUUGCAAAACCUAAGUCAUGUUUUGGACACAACUUGUCUCUGAUUCUCAAAUGAUAUUGCGAAUGCUUGUAAGUCUCAGAAUGGCAAGGCAGCAAAACUGGUACAAGUAUGUAUGUUUGAGUAGAUGAUGCAUGAAUUAUAAAAAAUGAAUUGAUUGUAAUCAAUUUUAUUUAGUUAUUUUUUAACGACCUCCUUGACUUAAUUUUUAACCUACUUGUUACCCUAAUUUUAUAAAAUCAUCUAUUUUGUAAAGUUAAAAGCAUAUGAAAAAUAGAAUUCUGUAUUGAGCCCCCAUGUACUCAUUACCUAACUUCAGGAGGAAGCCAUGUUCCGCUGUCUUGUUUCAGCUACCUCUUCACAUGCACGGUUUUGUUUGUUUGCUAGAAUAUUUCAAGGCAAACCUCUGGCAUCUGUCAAUACUCUUUAUUUCAUUCUCAAGAGGUCUUGAUGUGGUCAAAUAAAAAUCGGUCAAUAUAUCUCUGCUCUCAUAUUUCGAUAAAAUGUGUGAAAACAAAUACAAACAGUAAAAGGAAAAUUUCAGAGUAACUAUCUUAAGACUUUAAAAAUUGAGGUUUUUCCUUCAAUUUAGAUAAUACAAAAAACAAAGCUACAUGUAUGUAGCAUGCAUAUUGUAUUUCAAAAAGAGACAAAAGAAAAACCACAUUAGAUUCUUAAGGACUCAAUUUGUAAUACUAAGAAUAUAUGCGCUUUAUGAUUUUUUGGAUAAAGAUAGCAUGUUUUUUCACGUUUAGAAAUAUGUUUUAUAUUUUAUGAUAAAUUGAGAGUGAAUUGAAUACAACAUGCGGUGUGCGAGCACAGAAAAUGAAGCACAUCACCUGGUGCACAUUAAUUGUGCAGACAGACUGUCCUCUCCAAGUGCCACAAAAAAGCGAGGUUGAUGAAUUUCAAGAAUAUGAGGCCUCUUCAAAACUUACCCAAAUUUUUAUUACACAUCAUUGAGCUAAAAUUAAACACGAGACUAGUGAAAAAAACUUAAAAGUUCCCAGCUUGACACCCUUAGGUGCCAAGUUUCAGCCUCAAGAAGGUGCCGCUACUAAGUCAUAAACCAUGAAAAAUGACUGGGGCUCUACGCCUGGGUCUCCCUGACCUGGAGGAUUUGGCUGGCAUCAUAAAAUACAGAGUGACAGAUUAAGCAGUUUACCAACACCGUAAAAAUCUCAGGAAUAAAUUCACUGUAAUCAAAAAUCCUAUAUUGUAACUAGGCAGCCCCAGCCCUGAAACUACAUACAUUUCCUGACAAGCCUGUGUCCAUGGACAAGAGCUUAUAUUCUCCCCGAAACAACGGCACAAUUAUGUUCAUACACUUUUACAGUUUAUGUGUCCUAAGAAAAAUACUCAGCUCUGGCUGAUGGUGCGGGAGAAUUUAUUUUCACUAGAAAGGGAAUGACCCAUAACUCACGAAUGGCAGCGCUUAAAGUGAGUUAUGGAGGGUACUCUCCUGUGUGAGGAAAUGGAUUGCAUUAUCCUUCUGCCCAAUUGUUUGUUUGAUUAUUAGCACACCAGGUUCUUAAGUAUGUGCGGCUUUGCCUUUUUCCUUUUGUAAAAUAACUGUGGAAAAAGGGAAUGUCAGCUAGAAGCAUGGGGUACCUCACUGGAGCUCUGAGAGGUGGCCAGAGAGAAUAAAAAUAGAACCCUUCUUAAAGGAUUAAAAGCCAGAGUCUUAAAUGUAAUUUAAACACAGUAUUCAAAUUGAUUAGCUCCAUAGUGCCCAGUGCUGGUAUUCUGCAAAAGCAUUAAAAAUCACUCCUUUCCUAAAUUAAAAAUUUGCCUUCUUUGAAGUUACAUUGGAAUUCAAGAUAUACCUACAUGAUGAUUAAAGAAUUGGUAUUUCUUACAUACAGAUUUUAUUGUAUUAUUCUGAUAAUGCUGCUAUUUAUUUUAAAGUAAAUAUAACUAGUUACUACUUACAAGGAAAUGCAAUGUAAAGUGAUGUUUGAUGAUAAUAAAUACGAUUAUUGUUUGUUACUUUGUUACUGUGAGUUACAGAACAAGACCGCAGAUCUCUUUGUACCUUCCAACGUUAGGACCUACAAAGAAACUAGAUUUCCGUCAAGAUUAGGAUCCUGGUUAUUGAGCAAAAAUAUUUUAUUUGAAAAUUCAACUGGUUCUGUCCUUCUCUGGGUUGGAAGGGGAGGGAGAAUUACAACUGUGCUUCUAAGAUCUCCUUCCAGAAGGAAUUUUCUACCUCAAAAAUCAAGGACUUCAAUGCAAACGGCAGACAGAGGACAGCACAUUAUCCUCAAGCUAGUGAACAGGAAGGAUUUUUCUUCCUAAACGUCCCUUCUGCUCUGUAGUUUGAAUUAUCAAUAAAACGACUUGGCUUAUCUCUGAAAAUAACCUUGUUGACAACCCAAAUAUGGACUUAAACGCGCUACCUCCACAUUUAAGAUUUAAGAAGCCCCCAGUAAAUGUCAGGAGGUGUCAAUGUGUUUGCUGCAAUACUUGGUUAUUAUUAGUGUUUAACUGCAAUUCCCAACCAGCACCAGGCCGCCAGCACCACCAUAAAUUUUAAUGUGAUCAUGUGCUCAUCUCUUUUCAUAUCCAGUGAAUUCUACAAGAUCAUAAUAUUCUAUAUGAACCCUAGCUGAACCUUAGUGUGAUAGGAAGAAAGAACAAGAUUUCUAGCAAUGAUAGCUGUUCAUCAUUUUAUAGUUUUUUGAAAAACUGGACACUGAGCAGCACGGGUCCCUGAAUAAUAUGACCCUAAACUGAAUCCACUCAUUCAGUGAAUCUUUAUUGAGCCCUACAGGAUACUGGGCAUGGCCCAAAGUGCUAAUGAGUACAUUUAUGGGAUAGUGAAGAAUACCGACUCUUAAGGAAACCUGUUUUUCCCCCUGGAAAAUCUGUCAGAGAUCAUACAUCAUUUAUAAAACCGAAAAAUGCCCCUGCAACCUUGGCAUCACCACAUGCCUUUUUAUUUGACAGAAUACAAACAAAAGCGUGGUCGGUUCCUGUAUCUGGUCUACAUUGUGCAUGUAAGAAAUGUGCUUAUCGUCUUUCACUAUGUAUGUGCUUGCUGGAAUAUUUAUUCUACAAGCUUCUAUAAAUAAAGAAAAUUUGUAUAAUUA
This is a long non-coding RNA of Aethalodelphis obliquidens (Pacific white-sided dolphin), 6772 nucleotides long. RefSeq lists it as uncharacterized. NCBI's taxonomy places the organism in Eukaryota, Metazoa, Chordata, Mammalia, Artiodactyla, Delphinidae. The record is from RefSeq and is a predicted model, not a curated record. The transcript is spliced from 4 exons.